UCUUCCCCAGGCGCCUGCGCCUAACCGGUUCCCCGGCGCCAUUUUGUCCCGGCAGCAGCAGCCCGCAGCUCUAUCCCAUUUUCUGUGAGGGAAGGACGCGGACUCUCUCCGCUCUGUCUCCCUUUGACAUUGCAUUUCGGAAGCUGGGUUGCGAUCUGCAGACACCAAGGGCCCAAGGUGGCAGCCUCCUUGGUAAAGACGGAGGAGGUGUGGUUUCCUGAAACGUCUUGCGUGGGGAAGAAGAGGUAUUUCCUCCAACUGUGAAGCUAGGAGGAAAGGUGGAAGCCCCGGCUUUCGGAAUGCUGAGGAAUGUGCCUGCCAGGACAGACGCUGCUGCCACUAUGACCUUAGACAAGCGACUCUUGUCACUGCAUGAGGCAGUUGUGCUGAAGACAACAGACACCUCCAUGACAACCCAAAGUAUCACAGAGGAAAUGAACAGCUGUGGACUCAUUCAAAGUUAAUUAAGAUUAGGUUUGACCAUGGAAGACUUCUAGAGACUCUUGGCUGAUGAUGUGGAAAAAGAGACCCAGAAGAACAAAAAAACAGGUGACUGGAAUGCUGGUCCCCCUGUGCAGGAACAGCUCAGGAGGCUGGCGGAGACAUGAGUGUCCUUGCAGAAGCCAGCAGUCUUGUUGGCUGUCAGGUCCUCAUGACUUAGAAUUACAUGUCAUCCUUUCAUGUGGCAUGAAUGAGGAUUUAUAAAGCCCUAUUACGGUUUGGUAUGCAGUCCAAACAGACUUACAAAGAUUGGCAGAUAAAUUUUACCUGCUCAAGCAUAGAGCAGAGACUCCUCUUUAGCUAAUUUGUGCAUACAGCACUUUCCGUACACAAGUUACUGCAGAGCUGGGGCAGGAAGUAAGGGUGGAAUUCCUGAGCACGCUGACACUGAUGCUGAAGGAAGCAGGAGGUGGGCGGAGCUGGCAGUGGUGAGAGCCACGUGGAUACAUGGGAUGGUGGAGGAGUCAGGAAAAGUUAGUAGCUAGCUGAGACUGUCCUAGCAAAAGACCAACAGCUUUAAUUUUCUUCAAAAUUUAAUAAUAAACUGUGGAAAUAAACUAUUUUGAAAGAGUAGUUCAUAGAUUCCAUUGAGAAUGUAAUUAAUUGACCUGUUUAGUAUUUUUUAUUGAAAAAAUAAAUUGAGAUUCUUUUUUUUUUUUAAA
Molecule: non-coding RNA, 1163 nt
Organism: Mus caroli (Ryukyu mouse)
Lineage: Eukaryota; Metazoa; Chordata; Mammalia; Rodentia; Muridae
Source: RefSeq, a predicted model, not a curated record